GACGAACGCUGGCGGCGUGCCUAACACAUGCAAGUCGAACGGAGAUAUAAUUUCGGUUAUAUUUUAGUGGCGAACGGGUGAGUAACGCGUGAGCAACCUGACUCUUAGAGGGGGAUAACAUUCGGAAACGGGUGCUAAUACCGCAUAAGACCACGACAUGGCAUCAUGACGAGGUCAAAGGAGCAAUCCGCUGAGAGAGGGGCUCGCGUCCCAUUAGAUAGAUGGCGGGGUAACGGCCCACCAUGUCAGCGAUGGGUAGCCGAGCUGAGAGGCUGAUCGGCCACACUGGGACUGAGACACGGCCCAGACUCCUACGGGAGGCAGCAGUAAGGAAUAUUGGUCAAUGGGCGCAAGCCUGAACCAGCAACGCCGCGUGGAGGAAGAAGGGUUUCGGCUCGUAAACUCCUUUUAGGUGGGAAGAGCAAGGACGGUACCACCUGAAUAAGUCUCGGCUAACUACGUGCCAGCAGCCGCGGUAAU
Molecule: ribosomal RNA, 480 nt
Filed under: uncultured bacterium
Lineage: Bacteria
Description: bacterial SSU rRNA
Rfam family: Bacterial small subunit ribosomal RNA
Source: RNAcentral